RNAcentral lists this long non-coding RNA (2016 nucleotides) under Xyrichtys novacula (pearly razorfish). Lineage: Eukaryota; Metazoa; Chordata; Actinopteri; Labriformes; Labridae. The record is from RNAcentral.
CUUGGAAAAAUGGUGUGACAUAUAGAGAAAGAUCCUGACUUUGUGUCGGGUCUGUUUUAUUCUUUUUUUCCUUUAUUUGUGGCAAGGGGUGACUGUGUGUUCUGGAUUAGAGAUCAGACAAAGGGUAAAUGAAAGUUGUUAAAGUUGUGAAGAGGGACAGAGAAGUAAAGUGAUGUUUUCCAUAGUGUGAAUACUUUAACACGAAAUUAAGAAUUAAAAUCAGUAAUAAUAAUAAUAAUAGUAACAACUGUUUUCUUUCCAAAGGUAAAAGCAUAGCAAGAAAUAAAACAAAUAGGUUUACAGGACCACUGUUGAUCUAAGUUUUUAGAACAAAGUAAUUCUACAAAAACCAUGACCAGAAAGGGAAAAUUAGUUUAACUCCAAUUACAUUGGUAGGGUGUAAAUUGUCAGGCCUGGACUAGAGGGAGGACUCAGACGCAGAGGUUCAAAGUUCAACAAAUGCUUUAUUUUGAAAAUCGUCUUCUUUCUCAGUAGAUGGAGUGAUAAAUAAACAGGCUAUGAAAACCUUCUACCUAUCUACUAAGGAUGGACAGACAAACACAGAAACAAAAUCAAACCAAGACAGAACAAAAAAAUCACUCCAAAAGGGAGGACAAACUAAAAGGCUAAUCUUCUCUAAUCUUCAGAGGAAUCACUAUGAAAAAUUUAGAAACAAAAGGCGCUCCAAAAGGAGGGAAACAAAAGGGCUACAAACUUAACUACACUGCACUACUAGGCUAGGAAAAACUGUAAGAAAACAAAGUCACUCCAAAAGGGAGGAAAAAACAACAAGGCUAUGAAACAGAAGCUAGAUCUAAAAACUAAACAGGGAAAAAAACUACAACAGAAAAUCACUGGAGGAACACGAAUAAACGAGACACUCUGGCACAGGACAAAGGGAGACGCCGACUAUAAGACACAUGAGGUUAAUGGGGAACAGGUGGAAACAAUCAGGGAUCAGGGGAGACGUCAGACCGGAAACACAAGAGCAGCUCUGCUCUAAGGACAUUGAGCUGCUGGCUGUGAGUUUGCGGCCUUAUUACCUGCCGAGGGAAUUUUCGCACGUCAUCGCGUUAACUGUUUACAUCCCCCCCUCGGCUGAGGCUGCUGCAGCCUGUGAACUCCUCCAUAAUGAAGUGUCCAAGCUACAGACAUCACACCCUCAGUCUCUGAUCAUCAUCUCUGGAGACUUUAAUCAUGCAUCGCUGUCCUCCACUCUCCCUACCUUCAGCCAGGAUGUAAACUGCCCAACAAGAGACAAUAAAACUCUGGACUUACUGUAUGCAAACACCAAGGAUGCAUACACCUCCUCCCCCCUUCCCCCGCUGGGCCGCUCAGAUCACAACCUGGUGAGACUGCAGCCCAUUUACAUACCUAUGGUGAAGAAACAACCCCCCACCAUCAGGUAUGUUAAGAGGUGGUCUGAGGAGGCCACUGAGGCGCUGCAGGACUGUUUUGAGACCACAGACUGGGAUGUACUGUGCGGCCCACAUGGUGAUGACAUCGACACCAUGACUGACUGCAUCACGGACUAUAUUAACUUCUGUGUUGAGAACACCGUACCCACCAGGAAAGUACGGUGUUUCUCCAACAGCAAACCCUGGGUGACCCCGGAACUGAAAGUCCUCCUGAAGGAGAAGAGGAGGGUCUUUAAAUCUGGGGACAAGGAGGAGCUGAGGAGGGUGCAGAAGGAGUUGAAGAAGAAGAUCAGAGAGGGAAAGGCCAGCUACAAGACCAAGAUGGAAAACCUUUUGCAACAGAACAACGCAAGGGAGGUCUGGAGAGGCCUAAAAUCCAUCUCAGGUCAUAGCAGGGGCCAUGAGAGGGGAUCUGAAGCAGGAGACAGGGAGUGGGCCAACGAGCUGAAUCUGUUCUUCAAUAGAUUUGACUCUACUCCCACUCCUCCCCCGACUCAUCUAACCAACGACCCGUCUGCUGCUCCUCCUUCUUCUUAUUCUUAUUCACACCACCUCAGUCCCAUGGCACCGACACCAUCAACCCCCUCCACUCAUCCUC